RNAcentral lists this long non-coding RNA (1414 nucleotides) under Carassius auratus (goldfish). RNAcentral's name for it is "lncRNA (ENSCARG00000043784.1)". Lineage: Eukaryota; Metazoa; Chordata; Actinopteri; Cypriniformes; Cyprinidae. The record is from RNAcentral.
CACAUAUUCAUAUUAUUAAGCCUCAUUACAGGAUCAUUAGCUCCUCCUUUCUAUUUACUUGUUUAAAAAACAGAUCUCUCAUUCACAUCUGUUUCUCUCCUUCUUUCAUUAAUGUACCAUACAACAAAAAUUAUACUGUGAUACUGAAGGAUAGGAUCUGUGUAAUAAUAUUUGCCGUUGUUUCUGGUGAGACUAAUUUUUGGCUUUGUUUUUUGUUAGUUUUUUUAUUUUCACUAAAUUGCAAAUUGCCAGACAGCAUAAUCUACAGAGAGGAAGAAGUUCCUGAAUAACUGUAUGUCUACAAACUCAUCACAAUCAUCACAACCCAGAGAACAGAAGAGCAUCAACAGAGCAGAUCUGACUUACUAAACAUGGACAGACACUUGAUACUGAUUUUAAUCAUGACUUUAGGUGCAAAGGCAGCAGACCAGAUUGGGCCAAAUCAGGGUGAAAAAGUCAUCAGUACUGAAGGAGAGUCUGUGAGAUUAAGCUGCUCAUAUGAUACAAGUAGCAGAAAUGUUGGACUUUACUGGUACAGACGGUAUCUUAAUAAAGAACCUCAGUAUUUAAUGUGGAAAGGUGCUCGGAACUGGGGUGGUACUACUGGAACCCCUGCUGAUCGUCGCUUUCAGUCGACUACAUCAGAAAAAUCCACUGAACUCACUAUUACUGGUGUAACUCUGUCAGAUUCAGCUCUCUAUUAUUGUGCUCUAAGAGUUGGAGCCCAGUGAUACAAAGUCUAUGUGAAGCUGUACAAAAACUCAAUUUAAUUUUUCUCUUUGAAGCUCAACCACAUCAAAACCACAAUGUUAUAGAUAGAUAAAUUAUUUGGAAACACCUGCAAACAACUGUUAUAAAAAAAAAUGUAUUCAAAAAAAGAAAUGUUUAAUAAUCGGUGCCAAUUAAAAUGGAAAGAAAAAACAAAGUGAAAUGCACAACAAAACAUACACAAGCACUUCAUAACACACAUGAACUUACAAAUUACAUAUAAUGCAGGUCAAUCAGCUAAUAGUAUUAUAAUGAUAUUUUCAAUUGUUUUUAUUUUAAAGAUUAUUAUUUGUUUUCUAAUCAACCGGAUAAUUAAACAAAAAAAAAAAAAAAAAAUUUGAUGUUAAUUUAAUGACUCUUAGGCCAUCCAAGAUGUACUAGGUUCAUUAAAGGCAAGACAGCGGCUGCCCGUUUUUGAGAAUCAGAAAAAAAGCAAAUUAAAGAAAACAAAAUUACCUUGUUACGAAUGAAGAUAUGAGAUCUUAAUAAUUGAAACAAUUGGCCUGUGUAAGAAUCCUUAGCUUUAGCCUCAGUGAUUUUCAAACAGAUCAUUCUUUUGAACCAGUUCAUCAAAUUGGACUCAUUCAGUGCUCCAGUUCCUCUAAAAGUACACUGAACCAAAGACCAAUGAACCGGUGAAACAAGC